This 449-nucleotide ribosomal RNA is filed under the name uncultured bacterium. RNAcentral's name for it is "partial 16S ribosomal RNA". It matches the Rfam family "Bacterial small subunit ribosomal RNA", at positions 29 to 523 of the family's 1533-position model. The record is from RNAcentral.
AACGAACGCUGGCGGCAUGCCUAACACAUGCAAGUCGAACGAGAUCUUCGGGUCUAGUGGCGCACGGGUGCGUAACGCGCGGGAAUCUGCCCUUUGGUUCGGAAUAACAGUUGGAAACGACUGCUAAUACCGGAUGAUGACGAAAGUCCAAAGAUUUAUCGCCAGAGGAUGAGCCCGCGUAGGAUUAGCUAGUUGGUGUGGUAAAGGCGCACCAAGGCGACGAUCCUUAGCUGGUCUGAGAGGAUGAUCAGCCACACUGGGACUGGGACACGGCCCAGACUCCUACGGGAGGCAGCAGUGGGGAAUAUUGGACAAUGGGCGAAAGCCUGAUCCAGCAAUGCCGCGUGAGUGAUGAAGGCCUUAGGGUUGUAAAGCUCUUUUACCCGGGAUGAUAAUGACAGUACCGGGAGAAUAAGCUCCGGCUAACUCCGUGCCAGCAGCAGCCGCAG